Molecule: ribosomal RNA, 660 nt
Filed under: uncultured bacterium
Lineage: Bacteria
Description: bacterial SSU rRNA
Rfam family: Bacterial small subunit ribosomal RNA
Source: RNAcentral
GCCGCAGCACCGCAUGGUGCAGGGGUAAAAACUCCGGUGGUGUGAGAUGGGCCCGCGUCUGAUUAGUUAGUUGGCGGGGUAACGGCCCACCAAGACGACGAUCAGUAGCCGACCUGAGAGGGUGACCGGCCACAUUGGGACUGAGACACGGCCCAAACUCCUACGGGAGGCAGCAGUGGGGAAUAUUGCACAAUGGGGGAAACCCUGAUGCAGCGACGCCGCGUGAGCGAAGAAGUAUUUCGGUAUGUAAAGCUCUAUCAGCAGGGAAGAAAUUGACGGUACCUGACUAAGAAGCACCGGCUAAAUACGUGCCAGCAGCCGCGGUAAUACGUAUGGUGCAAGCGUUAUCCGGAUUUACUGGGUGUAAAGGGAGCGUAGACGGAGCAGCAAGUCUGGAGUGAAAACCCGGGGCUCAACCCCGGGACUGCUUUGGAAACUGUUGUUCUAGAGUGCUGGAGAGGUAAGUGGAAUUCCUAGUGUAGCGGUGAAAUGCGUAGAUAUUAGGAGGAACACCAGUGGCGAAGGCGGCUUACUGGACAGUAACUGACGUUGAGGCUCGAAAGCGUGGGGAGCAAACAGGAUUAGAUACCCUGGUAGUCCACGCCGUAAACGAUGACUGCUAGGUGUCGGGUGGCAAAGCCAUUCGGUGCCGCAGCUAAC